This 253-nucleotide ribosomal RNA is filed under the name uncultured bacterium. RNAcentral's name for it is "partial 16S ribosomal RNA". It matches the Rfam family "Bacterial small subunit ribosomal RNA", at positions 524 to 776 of the family's 1533-position model. The record is from RNAcentral.
UACAGAGGGUGCAAGCGUUAAUCGGAGUUACUGGGCAUAAAGGGCGCGUAGGCGGUUGAUUAAGUUGGAUGUGAAAUCCCUGGGCUUAACCUAGGAACUGCAUUCAAAACUGAUUGACUGGAGUACUGUAGAGGGUAGUGGAAUUUCCGGUGUAGCGGUGAAAUGCGUAGAGAUCGGAAGGAACACCAGUGGCGAAGGCGGCUACCUGGACAGAUACUGACGCUGAGGCGCGAGAGCGUGGGGAGCCAAAGGG